Molecule: ribosomal RNA, 500 nt
Filed under: uncultured bacterium
Lineage: Bacteria
Description: partial 16S ribosomal RNA
Rfam family: Bacterial small subunit ribosomal RNA
Source: RNAcentral
AUUGAACGCUGGCGGCAUGCCUUACACAUGCAAGUCGAACGGCAGCACGGGAGCAAUCCUGGUGGCGAGUGGCGAACGGGUGAGUAAAGUAUCGGAACGUGCCCAGUCGUGGGGGAUAACGUAGCGAAAGUUACGCUAAUACCGCAUACGAUCUAUGGAUGAAAGCGGGGGAUCGCAAGACCUAGCGCGAUUGGAGCGGCCGAUAUCAGAUUAGGUAGGUGGUGGGGUAAAGGCUCACCAAGCCGACGAUCUGUAGCUGGUCUGAGAGGACGACCAGCCACACUGGGACUGAGACACGGCACAGACUCCUACGGGAGGCAGCAGUGGGGAAUUUUGGACAAUGGGCGAAAGCCUGAUCCAGCCAUGCCGCGUGCAGGAUGAAGGCCUUCGGGUUGUAAACUGCUUUUGUACGGAACGAAAAGGUUUGGGCUAAUAAGCUGAGCUCAUGACGGUACUGUAAGAAUAAGCACCGGCUAACUACGUGCCAGCCGCCGCCGUAA